UUUCCGUAGGUGAACCUGCGGAAGGAUCAUUAUCGAAGCAGAGAUCGGCUCU
This 52-nucleotide ribosomal RNA is filed under the name Mesenchytraeus flavus. RNAcentral's name for it is "partial 18S ribosomal RNA". Lineage: Eukaryota; Metazoa; Annelida; Clitellata; Enchytraeida; Enchytraeidae. The record is from RNAcentral.